Anopheles merus is the source of this 699-nucleotide long non-coding RNA. RefSeq lists it as uncharacterized. The transcript has 3 exons. The record is from RefSeq and is a predicted model, not a curated record. Lineage: Eukaryota; Metazoa; Arthropoda; Insecta; Diptera; Culicidae.
CCGGCGGCGGUGUGUUUGCGUGCCUGGGGAAAAGCAUGAAGGAUAGGGUACACCCACCACCCACGAGUCUUCUUCCACGGCAGCAAAUCAGCGAAAAGUAGCAGCAGCGGCUCAGAGCGGUAAAAGCCUGGCAGAAAGAAGCCGCGUUUUCGCGAUCCGCUUUCGCGCAGUUUCUGGCGGCUCAUAGCGGGCUAAAAUGAAGGAGAAGCCUUACGCCGGCAGCAUGGAGGAGGUUUUUUUUUUGUGUGUGGGCAAUGUGGGCUAGAGCACCGACGGUUCCCCAUGCUUUGGGGAGCUGCUAAUAACCGCACCGGCGUGGCGUGGCGGACACGCAUGAGGCGAAAUUUACGCCAGCCAGCGGAACACACGAACGAACAGCCAGAGAGGCAGAUCUAUUUCUCGAUAGCGAAAAAGAACGAAAUGGAAUCCAGCCCGGGUCGGAAACUAUUUUCGGCCUGUAUAGUGCGUGUACGCGCUCUGUCUUAUUCCUAGGCAAGCGGAAACCAUUACGUCAGGUGUUGUGGUGUGUGAGUAACGUUGGAGCAAACGAACAGCAAGCCAUGAAGUAGAUCCUCUGCUUUCCCUUCCUUUUCUCGGGCUUCAAACAUGCUUAAUAAUUGAACGUUUUUUGAGCUUAUAUUACUCCAUUUUCCCCGGAUACGUCUACAACCACGUGGCGAAUGAGUAUUCCGUAUGCAC